CCUACGGGAGGCAGCAGUGAGGAAUAUUGGUCAAUGGACGAGAGUCUGAACCAGCCAAGUAGCGUGAAUGAUGACUGCCCUAUGGGUUGUAAACUUCUUUUAUAUGGGAAUAAAAUGUACAACGUGUGGGAUUUUGUAUGUACCAUAUGAAUAAGGAUCGGCUAACCCAGUGCCAGCAGCCGAGGUAAUACGGAGGAUCCGGGCGUUAGCCGGAUUUAUUGGGUUUAAAGGGAGCGUAGGUGGAUUGUUAAGUCAGUUGUGAAAGUUUGCGGCUCAACCGUGAAAUUGCAGUUGAUACUGGCAGUCUUGAGUACAGUAGAGGUGGGCGGAAUUCGUGGUGUAGCGGUGAAAUGCUUAGAUAUCACGAAGAACGCCGAUGGCGAAGGCAGCUCACUGGACUGCAACUGACACUGAGGCGCGAAAGCGUGGGUAUCAAACAGGAUUAGAUACCCUAGUAGUC
Molecule: ribosomal RNA, 460 nt
Filed under: uncultured bacterium
Lineage: Bacteria
Description: partial 16S ribosomal RNA
Rfam family: Bacterial small subunit ribosomal RNA
Source: RNAcentral